AAUAAGACGCUUGUCAAAGAAGGAAAGGGAAGAAAAGAGGAAAGUAAUUCACUAAUAAUAACCUAGCUGUAUGCACAGGUUCAUUCUCCACCAAGUCUUGUUUUUUGUCAUACACAAAGAGAAACAGUUAUACUCAGGGCUCACAGGUCCACCUCCACUUCACACGUUAAUUUAGUCUCCAAACAUUUGUGUUAGGACCUGCAGCCACAAUAACACAGAAGAUGCAGGGUCUGUGUUCCAGGAGCUUAUGAUUUAGUGGUGGAAACUCAGAAAUGCAGGGCUUUCUUUCUUUCACCCACUGUGAAGCACAAAAGGCAGGACGAGUUCCGAUGUCAACUGUCCACGCAGGAUCUGGGCCUUGCCCACUGAAGGCUGGCUUUAAAGCUGCCAGCCCAGAGUCCUGCCCACGGAGGGGCUGAGCUGGAUUUCUCACUCUAGUUGCAGUAAACUUUCCUGCCCCUUCACGUGUUCCUCCCAGCAAGGCUGAGACGACCCAAACUCCGGCUGCCCGAGGAGAGGGACCGCGGGGCCGCCCGACCCUUCGUCACCGAGCGGGAUCGCCGCCCUCCAGGCCGCCCACCUCCAAUGCUCCGGGCGGCGCCGCCCGCGCCUCUGCAGACCCGGGACGAAAGCGGGCGUCGGGCGCUCAGGGGGAGCAGCGCGCGCCUAUCCGCCGGCCCGCCCCCACCCCCGCACGACGUCACCCGGAUCACUCUUUUUUGACUGUGUGUCAGUAAUGCCAGACUCCGUGAUGAAGCCGAGGCACGAAGGAGAAAGCCGUAUUGUGUGCCAGCACUGGGCCCUACACGUUCUGCAUCUUACCUUCACGAAAACACUCUGAGGUGGCUCAGCCUGCCAGAGCAAAAGUAAAACCACAGAGAGAAGAUUUAGAUCAGCCUCUUGAUCGCCCUGCUGCUAUUUUACAGUUUGAGGAGGGGUGGAACAUCAAGCACUUGAAACUGUCAUCUACACAUUCCUUCUCAGAAUAAAGCAGCAUUAGCAUGUA
Long non-coding RNA from Felis catus (domestic cat), 1006 nucleotides. RefSeq lists it as uncharacterized. NCBI's taxonomy places the organism in Eukaryota, Metazoa, Chordata, Mammalia, Carnivora, Felidae. The transcript is spliced from 3 exons. The record is from RefSeq and is a predicted model, not a curated record.